RNAcentral lists this ribosomal RNA (164 nucleotides) under uncultured bacterium. Its description in RNAcentral is "partial 16S rRNA". It matches the Rfam family "Bacterial small subunit ribosomal RNA", at positions 355 to 511 of the family's 1533-position model. The record is from RNAcentral.
UAGGGAAUCUUCCACAAUGGACGAAAGUCUGAUGGAGCAACGCCGCGUGAGUGAAGAAGGGUUUCGGCUCGUAAAACUCUGUUGUUAAAGAAGAACAUAUCUGAGAGUAACUGUUCAGGUAUUGACGGUAUUUAACCAGAAAGUCACGGCUAACUACGUGUCAG